UCUUACAUAAAAUGUAUUGUUUAUGCGGCGAAAGUGUUAUACCGUAAAGGAAAAGCAAUCAAUCUUGUGGUCUGAAGUGUAGCCGUCUCUGUCUAGUUGCGGUUGUUUACGUAUUGUACUCUCUACUUCUCUACUCUGGUUCGUUUCGCGGGUGAUUACGAUAUAGACCAGCGCGACGUUGACAGGGUAACUUUGUCUCAACAGCACAAAACGAGCUCGACAUAAACAGCCAACAUGUUUAAAAAUCAUUUAGAAAUGAUUGGCAGAAAUGAGACGCCAUCGAAGAAAGCCAGAUUUUGGCAAUCCUUCGUGCGUUCUCUUAAAGGAUCGGAGGACCUCAGGGCCGAAGACAGGUACAGGCCGUCGCGCCGCAGCGUAUUUCCGGAGCUUCUGUCCACCAGCUACCCCUACAGCAAAUCUAUCUACGAUGACCCUAUCGGCGCUGCCGAGAGGAUCACAGUCCCCGGAUACCGCUACCUACCAGUCCACCGCGAAACAUACGGCUACUCACCACGUCCCAUCUACGCCCACAACUACCCUCGCCCCCUCGAAGCGUACAGGCCAAUUUACCAUGUACCGAGGCGUGUGAGACGAGGCGUUGACCCCUUCGACGCGCACAAGGCCUGGCAGGACCAUCUCGACAGACUGUCCGCCAUCGACCGUCUGUACCCCUCUCGCUACGGGCUCUACUUGAAGGACAGGGCAUACCCCAUCACCGACCUGUCCGCUCCCAUCAUCGACCCUUACUCAUCACCUAAGAGCCUUAGAGGCAUCGAAUAUGAACCCGACUCCAAACCUCACUGGGGAAAAGGAGCGUGGCCGGAGAGGAUAUCGGACGUGUUCAAAAAGGAUCCAUUUUUUGCUGAGGCUGAAAAAUGGGCCGAUUUUGACCGCACACUUCGAGGGAGAUCCCCGACGCCCGUGAAGCCAAGGAUAAGUCCGCCACGAGAUUGCGAGGUCGCAUUCGAUGCCGAUGGUGCGCCGCUAUACACCGCCAGCGGGCUGCGACGCAGGCCAUGGGCUAACAUUUUCAACCCGAGCCCGUCCCUGCCUUACUCGGCGAUCAUUCGGGACCCCUUCUGGUACGACUGGCCGGAGCUGAGACCCAUAGCGCGAUGGGACCGCAGCCCCUCCUACAUCCGCGACUCGUACCUCUCACCCGUCAAACGCACCUUCCUCUGGGACAAGCACCCGAUCAGGCCUUUAGAUCUAAUGGUGUACGACAGAUUAACAGUGGAUGAUUUAAGCAAGACUAUGCCCUUCAUCCAUAGUCUAUAAUGAGAGCACCAGAUACCUCUUCAGUGGGUAAAAAGGAUAUCCGCACUAGAACUGCUGCUUACUAAAGGGUCGGUCAACGCUCUCUAUUUAUUAAGUUAAUUUUUAUAAUUCCUACCUGUUGAAACAUUUAUUUUUAAUUGUUCAUUCGUUUCAAUUAUGACUAUGUUAAAAUUAUUUUUACAUCACUUACUGAAUUUUUCCGGUUUAUAUUUCUUUAAGAUCUCAAAGACUGCAUUAACAUAGUCACUGCCACGAAAAUGAACAUUGUUACAGUGAAAUUGUUUUUAUUAUAAUAAAAUUAUUUUUAUGUACCUACUUCAAAACUAAAAAAAAAACAAUAAAACAC
Molecule: RNA transcript, 1624 nt
Organism: Maniola jurtina (meadow brown)
Lineage: Eukaryota; Metazoa; Arthropoda; Insecta; Lepidoptera; Nymphalidae
Gene: Mf
Exons: 8
Source: RefSeq, a predicted model, not a curated record